CCCACAAAUCUGACAAAAAAUCAUACUUACCAAAAAAGAAACAGAGUGUCAAAAACUGCAAAAUCACACCUUAUCAGUCCACACUUCUCACUGAUUUCUGCCUUAUAAAACCUCCAAACCCACUCCUUCUUCCUCAACGAAAUACUCUGUCCCAAAUACUUCAAUUUCUCCUCUCCCAGAAAUCAUGAACAAAUCCGCCAUUUCUGCAGCACAGAAGUCACAGAACAAACUCCCACAAAUCCCCACAACUCUAGCAAUCUGAGUCAAUCAUCUCUUCAUAGCAAUGGGUUUCAGCUUCCCUAACACUGAUCUCUUCCACAUUACUCUUCCAACCAACCCAUGAAUCUUUCACCUUGCACACACAAUCUGUCAUCAUCCUCG
Molecule: long non-coding RNA, 381 nt
Filed under: Linum usitatissimum (flax)
Lineage: Eukaryota; Viridiplantae; Streptophyta; Magnoliopsida; Malpighiales; Linaceae
Description: long non-coding RNA (LUSI_LNC005774)
Source: RNAcentral